GUUCUAAGGUCUUUUAGAACAAAUAUACCUCCCACUAUUUUCUCGAAUCCCUUACACUCCCCUGGUAAGAAACGGAAAUCCUACAUGACUAGGGUUUCUAGUGGGUACUGCGGUCCCACCGAUUUAUGUUGGGAACCCGCCCAUGCCACAGAAAAAUUUCAAAAAAAAUUCAGAUGGCAGCGGAAUCGACAUAAGCUGGAUCGACGUUCAUCUCAUGAACGUUGUUUCAUGAACCGUUCGUAGAUGGGUAAGGAUUAAAUAUUUUUAAAAA
Molecule: long non-coding RNA, 271 nt
Filed under: Phoenix dactylifera (date palm)
Lineage: Eukaryota; Viridiplantae; Streptophyta; Magnoliopsida; Arecales; Arecaceae
Description: long non-coding RNA (PDAC_LNC011778)
Source: RNAcentral